Molecule: long non-coding RNA, 2664 nt
Organism: Amphiprion ocellaris (clown anemonefish)
Lineage: Eukaryota; Metazoa; Chordata; Actinopteri; Pomacentridae
Exons: 2
Source: RefSeq, a predicted model, not a curated record
CUGGCUUUGCUGAGUUUAAAAAUCUAUCACAACACACAGCAUAUUGGAAAGAGUGGGAACCUAAAGCAGAAACAGCGACCUAGUCUGUGCUUUAUUUAUUUAUUUUUGGACUGAAUAUUAGCAGCGAGGGUGGUGAGCUUAGAGAUGUGUGAUAGGAUAAGAAAGGGAAGAGAGAAUGUGAACAAAUGUUGAGGGUGUGUGUGGGGUUGAGAUUAUGGAGGAAUGCCGGCGGUCCAGGCCAGUCUCCAUUGUGGAUCUUGAGAGGAUUUUCCGCACAAUUUUUAGCUCCAGACAAUUUGAACAGAGGCUCCAUGAUCAACACGCACCUACCCAUUCUGCAUCUUUUCUUCCUGUGAAGCAGUGUCCAACAGUGCUGCUGCUGCUGCUCCAGUGAAGAAAUGUGUCACUUUAAAGCUGCAGGUGAACCAUAUGCAUUAUUUGUACUGCUGUUUUCCUCAUCCACACACACCCUGUCAGGACACUGGUCUCCCUCACAAGGUCGAGCUGAUCAUAUACUUGAAAAGGUUUGACUUGACAUAAAUAAAGCCUGUGUUGACUUCUGCACACCUACAUUCUUAACAUUUAAAUGUCUUAUUUAUUGUGCCCAAACAGCUAUAAUCACCGUGCAGCUAAUUUCCAACAAAUGUGUAGCAAUACUAGUCAUACUUUUCAAAUAGGUACGUUCAAAUCAUCACUCAUCCAUUCAGCACAUAUUGCACAGGUUUUGUGUAGUUUAUGAUAAGCUGCUGCCCCCUUGUGGUUAUUCAGCUUCUGCAGAGCAGCGUCUUCCAUUUUUUACUACAAAUGCCUCAUCCAAAAUUAUUCUGUCUUAGUAUUCAGUGACAAUUCAGUGAAUGAGCUUUUAAUUUGGAUUUAUUAUCCACUCUUUUUUCUGUCCAUUUCCAGGUCCUUGAGGCUGGAAUGCUUCCUUGCCAUCACAGGUCUUCAGUUCCCUCCACAGAUUCUUGAUGGUGACAGACAGAUAGGAGUAACAUUGGACAUGACAUUUUCAGUCAAAAUGUCAAGAACAGGGCGUCCAGGUAGCUCCACUGGUUGAGUGGCUGAUCCAUAAAAAGGGCCUGUAGUCCUAGAAUCCGAUGCAGCAGCCUGGGGUCGAUUCAAGCUCAUGGUCCGUUGCUGCAGGUCCUCCAUCCCAUUCCCCUCCCUACUUUCCUGUCUGCCUCUUGGCUAAUUAAUUUUAAUAAAGCCAACAAAAGGCCAAAACAAUUAACUUCAAAACAAACAAGCAUCAAAACAAUUCAAAUUGAUCAUGCCCAUCUAUAAUCCAUUAUUUUUUAUCUUUUGUGAUUUGUUUAUGUCAUCUCCAGCUAGUAGCUAAUAUUAUUCACUAUAAAUCCAAAUUUGCCCUGGGUAUGAAUAAUUUUUGGGCUUAAUUAUACAUUUACAAAGUUUACACGUGUAGUUGUAUGCAAAAAUUUGACCCUGCCAAGCAAUUCACAUAUUUGGGUGAUUUGUGAAGGGGAAAAGGAGGAAAUUCAUACCACUGCAACUAACUUACAGUUCCUCAGAUGCUGUUUGUUUUGAAUAUUUUGGGGUUCACCAUUUACCUGUCAGAAAAAGCAGGCAGGAUGCAGGAGGACUCACCAGCAGAAGUCUGCCGGUUUCUGUAGUUGCUGAGCAGAAGGUGCAUCAGCAUGUUGACGGAACCUAAAGCUGUCAUGCAGCAGUCUCAGUGGUGAAACUAUAUAAUAAAGUACAUUUACUCAUUUAUAUAGUACCAGGCUGUUGCUGUACUUUAGUAAAUACACCCAGCUCUUCCUUUCCACCAAACCCACUUCCACUUUCCCUUCCACCUCCCUCUGUGACUCAGUUCAGGAAAUCAGAUCCUGGUUCUGCUCCAACUCUCUCAAACUCAACAGUGACAAAACUGAGGUUCUCCUCAGUGGCUCUAAAUCCAUUCUCUCAAAAGCUAACAGUUUCACCCUUACCAUCGACAACUCCUCUUUCUCCCCUUUCCCCGCAGGUCAAGAGUCUGGAUAUCAUCCUCGACGGCACUCUGUCAUUCCAAACCCACAUCAAUAACAUCACUCGGUCUGCAUACUUCCAUCUUUGGAACAUCAACCGCCUCCGUCCCUCCUCACCCCUGUCAGCACCACAAUCCUGGUCCACUCUCUGGUCACCUCCAGCCUGGAUUAUUCCAACUGCCUUCUCUCUGGUCUCCCCCUUCAAGUCCCUCCAUAAACUCCAACUAGUCCAGAAUGCUGCAACCCAGAUCAUCGCCAGGACAACUUCUCUUCACCUCAUCACCCCUGUUCUCCAACAACUUCACUGGCUUCCAAUCACACACCACAUCAAUAAAACCAUGCUCCUCCCAUUUUCAAAUCGUCUCAAAACCCACCUGUUCAAACAAGCAUACUCACCUCCGACUUGUAUUUCUCUUUUUCUUCUGUUUUUAAAUUUUUUUUGUUUUGCUAAAUGUUCUUCUUUUGGAAACUGUUUGAUAUAAAGGUGCAGAUUACAUAAAUUUCUUCUUAUUUUUUUAUUCAGAAGUUUGGAAACUUGUUUUUAUAUUGUAUUGAAUUGUUAUUUUUUCUUUUGUCAAUGAAUAAAAUAAAAACUAACUAAGAUUUCAGUUUGCAAUGAGAAUUUUUCAAAUCUGAAUAUGUGUUCUAGCACUGCUAGAUAUUAAAAUCUUUUCAGCUA